GGAACGGUGUCCGAGUGGUUGAAGGAGCACGCCUGGAAAGCGUGUAUAGGGGCAACUCUAUCGAGGGUUCGAAUCCCUCCCGUUCCGCCA
Molecule: transfer RNA, 90 nt
Filed under: Deinococcus humi
Lineage: Bacteria; Thermotogati; Deinococcota; Deinococci; Deinococcales; Deinococcaceae
Also listed under: 2 other names
Description: tRNA-Ser
Rfam family: tRNA
About the family: Transfer RNA (tRNA) molecules are approximately 80 nucleotides in length.
Source: RNAcentral